RNAcentral lists this ribosomal RNA (422 nucleotides) under uncultured bacterium. Its description in RNAcentral is "bacterial SSU rRNA". It matches the Rfam family "Bacterial small subunit ribosomal RNA", at positions 359 to 773 of the family's 1533-position model. The record is from RNAcentral.
GAAUAUUGGACAAUGGGGGCAACCCUGAUCCAGCCAUGCCGCGUGUGUGAAGAAGGCCUUUUGGUUGUAAAGAACUUUAAGCAGUGAAGAAGACUCCAUGGUUAAUACCCAUGGACGAUGACAUUAGCUGCAGAAUAAGCCCCGGCUCACUAUGUGCAAGACGCCGCGGUAAUACAUAGGGUGCAAGCGUUAAUCGGAAGUACUGGGCGUAAAGCGAGCGUAGGUGGCUUGAUAAGUCAGAUGUGAAAUCCCCGGGCUUAACCUGGGAACUGCAUCUGAUACUGUUAGGCUAGAAUAGGUGAGAGGAAGGUAGAAUUCCAGGUGUAGCGGUGAAAUGCGUAGAGAUCUGGAGGAAUACCGAUGGCGAAGGCAGCCUUCUGGCAUCAUAUUGACACUGAGGUUCGAAAGCGUGGGUAGCAAAC